AACAUUCGCAGUGGCCGCCUGAGAGCUUUCGCCUUUCGCGGGGCUUGAGAGCUUGUGCUGCUUUUAUCCUUCCUUGGAUGUCUGAGCUUCUCUCGUUCAGAAUUCUCUCUUCUCAUAACUCUUUUGCUUUAAUUGUUUAUGGUUGUUUCUCUUUUUUAAACCCAUUUGGUUUGAUAUCUUUUGCUAAUCGUAAGUGUGGCUUGAUUUAUGGAAUUUGUCUUGGUGUUUAGAAUUGGAGAUUUGUUGCAUUUUCACCUUGAUUUUGUCGUUUGUUCUUCUCUGAUUUGACAUUUUUGUUAACUUGUUAUGAACUGGAGAACGGGUAAUUUUGAUUUCUUUGUUGUGACGUUCGAUAUUUCUCAUUUCACAAGUAUAAAACUAGAGGGUGUCUUUUGUGGGAUGCAUUUCUUCAUGGGGACUAUACGUCUGCCCCUUUAGCAGGUUUUGGAGUGCUUUAGGGAUGAACAAGUCCCUGAUAUGUAAUUCAAUCCAUCUGUAUCACUUUGUCAGCAUUAUUCUCUAGUAUCUUGCUGAUCAUUGGAGGGUGGAAUAUGCUUAAUUUUUUCUGUUAUUUUGGAUUCCUAAUAGCAUUGGGGCAGGCAAAGCAUGGAUUUAUCAUAUUGGCUUUUUGGAGUUUAUUAAUUGAAUGAAUGAGUCUUAGUUGUAUGGUUUGUUUCUGCAAAUUUUUGUUGUGUUGCCUGAUUGCAUUGCUAGGAUUGAGAACUUGUGAUGGUUCAGUACUUAGUUUCUGAAGAUUGCUUCAAUGAUAUGAUCCAAGUUUGAUUAUAUUUCUUGGCAAUUGCAACAAUUGAUUAAUUAAAUUGAAGCUACAAUUUUCUUAGCUGGCUCUGUAUUGAUAAUCUAUUGGUUCUUGAUAUGAUUAUGUUAAUAUUUUAUAUUUUUAUUAUUCUUUUUAUAGAUUUGAUGAUUGCUGCAUCUUUUGAUCUUGCUGUCGUGUGUUGAUGAUGACAAAUCCAA
This 978-nucleotide unclassified non-coding RNA is filed under the name Hevea brasiliensis (rubber tree). The stretch from base 450 to 555 matches the Rfam family "Small nucleolar RNA snoR99". Lineage: Eukaryota; Viridiplantae; Streptophyta; Magnoliopsida; Malpighiales; Euphorbiaceae. The record is from RNAcentral.